This 1744-nucleotide long non-coding RNA is filed under the name Vigna radiata. RNAcentral describes it as "long non-coding RNA (VRAD_LNC009526)". Lineage: Eukaryota; Viridiplantae; Streptophyta; Magnoliopsida; Fabales; Fabaceae. The record is from RNAcentral.
CAAUCUAUAGUUAAUGAUCAUAUACUGGAAUAUGAAUUAUUGCAUAUGGAAGUUAUUAAUAGUAUAUAUUUAUAGCAUUAUCUUUCAGAAAAAGAUUUAUAAAACAAAAACUAAUAUACUCAAUCCCAUAAAAAAGUCAUCCAACUAAUACUUAGUGGCAUAAAUGAAAGAUGAACAUACGUUUAUGAAGUUGACAACCAUACAUAUGAAGAGUGGCUUUAUUAUAAGACCAUGUACAUAUAUAGUUUUAGAAGAUGCAAAAGGGUGGAAAGAUACAUAUAAAAGGAAAAGAAAUGAUGGUUUUGGAAGGAAGGCUUUAGGCAAACAUGGUAGAGAGGGUUGGAAGCUUGAUCUCUCCGGUGUGAGAGAGAGGAAUGGUGAAGUUGCCAAUGACAGGAAGGUCAAUAAUGAGACGAAUAUCGAGUUGGUAGUCGAUGUCCCAGUCGGCACCAAUGUCCCUUGCUAAGGACAUUAAUAUGCUGUAUGGAACCUUAAUUGGCACAUCCACCAUGGUCGUGUCCUUUGACUUCAAAGAUCCUGGGUCUGGAAUUGUCCCUGAUGCUAUCUCCCUUCACCACACAACACAAAAACAUAAAAAAAAAAAAAAAAAAAACUUGUUGACAAUAUUAUUGAGAAUGCCUUUAUCAACUGCUGAUGCAUUUCUGUUUUCGUUGAUAUUGAAUAAAACUCUUAAAUUAAAGAUUUAAUUAAAUUUGAGUACUUCAUAAACUCAAUGGUGUUGAUAUUUUUAAUUGAGUUUUUGUUAUUUUUUUAUUAAACGUUCAAAUUUAUAUAUUUUUAAUUAAAUACCUAUUUUUCGUAAUUAUCAUUUUGAAUCAUUUUAUUCUUUUAUUAAAAAAGUGUUGUCGUUUAAAAUAUUUAAAUCUUAAAGAUAUUUUAAGAGUAGUUUUCUUUAAUAAUCAUAUUUUUAAUUUUAGUACAUGUAAAAUUAAGCCGACAGCUCUUCUGUUCUCAUAAGAUUCGGAAUUCUAAGGUUAUAAUAAACUUUUAUUUUUACAAAUAUUCUUUAUUAACGCAGGUUUACUCAAUUAAGUAAGAAUUGUUGGUUGUUUUUAAUUGGUGAACUUUUAUGGUUUAAGGUAUAGGAAUUGUGAUAAUUUGAAUUGGAUAAACAAUAAGUUUAGUGUAAUAAUUUAUAUAUUUUAUUUUUAUUUUAUAUUUAGUAAAAUAAUUUUUUUUAAUUGAAUCCACUUUAGACUUUAGAAAAAUUUAAUUAAAGGUUAAUUAAUUAUUAAAAUUAAUUUUCCUUCUAAUUAAAUACUAAAAAGUGACAAUCAGUGAAUUAAUGAAAUUAAAGUUGUGAAUUAAAAUUAUGAUUGAUGAAGUUUAAAUAAAAUUAAUAGAAUCAAAAUUAUUAUAUUAAAAUUGUAUCUAUUUACCCAUUUUAAUUUGAUUUGUAUAAAUUUACAGUUUAUUUUGACUGUUUUCUAAUUAAGUUUAUAAUUUAUUUAUUCCUUUUAGUCUAUUUUGCAGAAAGUAAAUUUAUUUUCUUCAAAUAUACUUUACUUCCUUGUGAGUUAAUUUGAGAAUUGAGAUACAGUGUAAUUUCAGUGAUAAAAGUGAGAAAGGGUACCUUGACGCGCUUUUGAAAGAGUAUCUGAUCUCGCAGAUGGGUAUGGAAGUUGAAUAAGGGUUACGGACAGCUACCUUCACCAAGUACUCCAUACUAUCUUUGCUCACGCGCUUGAAGUCCACGUUGCUCACACUCGCCUCAGGCUUCGCC